This 343-nucleotide ribosomal RNA is filed under the name uncultured marine stramenopile. RNAcentral's name for it is "SSU rRNA". It matches the Rfam family "Eukaryotic small subunit ribosomal RNA", at positions 73 to 411 of the family's 1831-position model. The record is from RNAcentral.
UUUAUACUGUGAAACUGCGAAUGGCUCAUUAUAUCAGUUAUAGUUUAUUUGAUAGUAUUUUACUACUUGGAUAACCGUAGUAAUUCUAGAGCUAAUACAUGCGUUAAUUCCCAACUGCUUGCGCGGACGGGAUGUAUUUAUUAGAUAGAAACCAAUGCGCUUUCGGGCGGUAUUGUGGUGAAUCAUAAUAACUUUGCGAAUCGUAUGCCCUUGUGGUGACGAUGAAUCAUUCAAGUUUCUGCCCUAUCAGCUGUCGAUGGUAGGGUAUUGGCCUACCAUGGCAUUAACGGGUGACGGANAAUUAGGGUUCGAUUCCGGAGAGGGAGCCUGAGAGACGGCUACC